Molecule: long non-coding RNA, 6572 nt
Organism: Neofelis nebulosa (Clouded leopard)
Lineage: Eukaryota; Metazoa; Chordata; Mammalia; Carnivora; Felidae
Exons: 2
Source: RefSeq, a predicted model, not a curated record
GCCUGUGCCUUACACGCUGGAGUUUCCAGGGUUCUGGAUUCCCUGAGGAUGGUUGGCUCAAUUAUUAUGUAUCUUGUGUGUAAGUCACUGUGAUGCCCAGCUUUCCCAAGGGGGUCUGGACAUCACAAAGGCCCCUAACAGUUAACACAUCCAAACAUGAACUUCUGAUUUUCUCCUGCCCAGCUCCCCGCUGACUUCCCCAAGUCACUGUUUCCUGUGUUCUGUGGCACGGUGAGAAAGCCUGGAAUCUGGGAGUCGUCCUCUACUUCUCCUCCUCGGUUCCUUCCCUAUCAAAGACCAAGUCUUCAUCGGCUCCAACUCCCUUUCGCCAUCUUUCACCCAAACUAUCGUAAACAUGCCCUAAUGUUCUUCAGCUCGUUCUCCACCCUGCCACCGCUUACGUUCGUAAUGUGCGAUCAAACGACGUUCCUCUCCUGUCUAAUAUCCUUCAGUUGCUCCCCAUCACUCACAGAUUACUCUUGACAUACUCAUUUUGGUCCUUCGUGAUCUAGCCCCUGCCUUUCUCUGCAGACAUCCCCACUCACAUACUUACGAGUCCUAGACUGAAGCGUGCUAUUUAAUGCCCAUUUGCUUUGCCUGUAACUCUUCUAGCCUAAGCAGCAAAUUUCUCCUAGUCCUUCCUGGGCUUGCUCAAAUAUUAUCUCCUCUGGGAGGUUUUGUCCUUAUGCACUCAGGAAGUGAGCUGCUUCUUGUUUGUGAAAUUUAUAUCGCACGCGGGACCGUGAGAUCCUCAAGGGCAGGGACCACAUCUUAUUCGCCUCUGCAUUCCUGCCACCUACCCUUGCUCCUGGUACGUAGUGCACUAUUGGAUAAAGAGUCUUGACGUCUUGUCUUCUUUCCCAUUAGAAACCCAGGUUUCACUCUUAAAAUGAGAUUUGUACCUCCCCUUUACUCAUGUACUGGCCUUCUCAAGGAUUCUGAAGACAGCAAUUCACAGAUUCUGCAGUGAUAUCAGAUACUCAGAUUCUUCUGAAAGGAUCAAACUGCUUUGCUUCUGUUAAAACAGAAAUCUAGUUUGCUCAGAGUGCAAAGUGGACAAGCUUCAUCGUGUGUCAUGGAUUUUCUCUUUGCAUGGAAUAAAGGAGAGGGGAAGGAAACUACCAUUUGUUCAAAAGCCUCUGCUAGGUACAGGACUAGGCUCUCAUUUCCUGGAUAGGCAGGAGCAGAGACAUCACUGUCAAGAAGUCCUCGUCCUAGCUCUCCCGCUAACUAAUGUGUGGCUCCCUGGAGCAAGUGGUCGUCUCAGAUCCUUAUUCUCCUCAUUUAAAAAUAAAAGGGUCAGACCAAAUUGUCCCCAGAGGUUGCCAAGCUCUAAGGUUUCGUUAGAAAAAAAAUCACUGGGUAGAUUUGCCCUGAGCCAGCACCUGUGCUAGGCAUUAGGGAUGCCAAUAAGAUGCAGUCCUUAGCCUGUCGUAUUCAGUGUGGAAGAAUAAUUCUGUUAUUCUGACUCUGCACAGGCUGUUGCGACUACUUAAAAUCAAUCACUGAUUGGACCUAUAUAAACAAAGUAUGUUCAGUUAAGAAAGAAAAACCUACUGGGGCGCCUGGGUGGCUCAGUCAGUGAAGCUUCCAACUUCAGCGCAGGUCAUGGUCUCACGGCUCAUGAGUUCAAGCCCCGCGUCGGGGUCUGUGCUGACAGCUCGGAGCCUGGAGCCUGCUUCGGAUUCUGUGUCUCCCUCUCUCUGCCCCUCCCCUGCUCAUGCUCUGUCUCUCUCUCUGUCUCAAAAAUAAAUAAAAACAUUUAAAUAAAUAAAUAAAUAAAUAAAUAAAUAAAUAAAAUAAAACUUUAAAAAAAAAAAAAAAGAAAGAAAGAAAAACCUACUGAAACGAUCGUGUGUAAAAUUUCCUGCAAGGCCUAAUUCAGGUUAGAUGAAUAAAUUAUGGUUCGUGCCUCAAAAGAGGCUCUAACCCAGAGAAGACCCACUGUGCAUGCAGCCGAUAAAAUAAAUUUUAUAAUCAAGAUUGUUACUCCUGCAGGAAUAGUUUUUCAGGAAACCACUGCUAGACCAACUCAGAUUAUCUGAAGGGUUUUAUGUUACUUACCAUGAAGUUAGAGGUAGACAAAUACCGAUGCUAAAUACAUGUCCUGAACAAAGAUGGGCUUCAUUCAUAGCAGAAUUUCACAGGGGUUUUGAUAAAGUGCUCUGGAUACUUCUGUUAUGUGACAUGUUCUUUUACCUGAGGCGGCCAGUCCCUAAAGAGGCAUUCACAUCUCUCGAGGAUAUGUGUUUCAUCCGUUUUGUAUUCUUGCAGAGUCUAGCCAGUUUCUUUUACCUUGUGCAAAAUAAAUCACAGGCUGAUGCUGCACCGUGCUGGAACUGUCUGCCUACUUUCAGACCACCAUAAAGAGUGUUUUCUCUCCUUGUGUCUUUUUUUUUCAUCUUAACAAAUCAGUUGUGUUUUUCUUCCCCAGCAUUGUUGAGGCAUAUUUGACAAAUAAAAUUAUAGAAUAUAUAAAGUGCACAACAUGCUGAUUUGAUAUACACACACAUUUUCAAAGGAAGAGUUGAAUGGUUGUGGGUAUGAUAUUUGAAAUUGUAUCCAGGAUUUCUAAGAGGUCUUCAAUGAUGAUACUUUUGUAGAUAGGAUUGAGAACCAAUGAGCAAGUGGCUGGAGAGCAAAGGAAAUGGAGAUCACUUUACGUUGGUAAUUUCAAAGGCAGAUAAAUAAAAUUAUCGUUAAAUGAAUCUAACAAAAACUAUGUCUUUAAAAAAUAGACUUUUUAAAAGAGCCAUUUUAGAGUCACAGAAAAAAUGGAAGACAGAGUACAGAGAGUUCCUGUAUACCCCUGUACCUGCACAUACUCAGCCUCUUCCAUGAUCACCAUCCCACACAGAGUGUGGGACCUACACAUCAUCAUCACCCCAAGUCCAUAAUUUGCACUAGGGUUCACUCUUGGUCUUACACAUUCUGUGGGUUUUGACAAAUGUAUAAUGAUUUGUAUCCACCAUUAUAGUACCACACGAAAUAUUUUCACAGCCUGAAAAUCCCUUAUGCUCUGACUGUUCAGCCCUCCCUCCUAACUCCUAGCAACCACUCAUCUUUUUCAUGUACCCAUAGUUUUGUCUUUUCCAGAUUGUCAUAUAGUUGGAAUCACACAGUACGUAGACUUCACAGAUUGGCUUCUUUCGCUUAGUAGUAUGCAUUUAAGGUCCCUCCAUGUCUUUUCAUGGAUUGAUGGCUCAGUUUCUUUUAACACUGAAUAAUAUUCCAUUGUCUGGAUAUAUCACAGUUGAUUUAUCCGUUCACCUACUGAAGGACUUCUUGGUUGCUUCCAGGUUUUUGCAGUUAUGAAUAAGUCUGCUAUAAACAUUCCUGUGCAGGUUUUUAUAUGUACAUAAGUUUUCAACUCAUUUGGGUAAAAUACCAGAGUGUGAUUGCUCAGUCCUAUGGUAUGGGUUUGUUUGGCAGUAAGAAACUGUCAGACUGUCUUCCAAAGUGCUGUACCAUUUUGCAUCCCCAACCGCAGUGAGUGAGCAUUCCUGUUGCUUCACAUUCUUGUCAGCAUUUUGUGUGGUCAAUGUUUUAUAAUUUUGUCAUUCUAAUAAGUGUAUGGUGUUAUCUCAUGGUUAUUUUAAUUUGCAAUUCUCUAAUGAUGCAUGAUGUUAAGCAUCUUUUUAUGUGCUAAUUUGCCAUCAGUGUGUCUUGUUUGGAGAAGUGUCUGUUCAGACUGUUUGCCUAUUUUUUAAUUGGGUUGAUUGUUUUCUUAUUAAAGUUUUAAGAGUUCUUUGUAUAUUUUAGACAAUAGUCCUUUAUCAGAUAUGUUUUUUGCAGAUGUUUUCUCCAAGUCUAUAACUUGUCUUCUCAUACACUCAACAAUGUCUUUCUCAGAAGUUUUUAAUUGUAAUGAAGUCCAGUUUAUCAGUUAUUUAUUUUAUAGAUCAUGUCUUUGGUGUUGUAUCUAAAAAGUUAUCACCAAACCUCAAGUCAUUUAGAUUUCCUUCUAUGUUAUCUUCCAGGGAUCUUAUAAUUUUGUGUUUACAUUUAAGUCUGUGAUUCAUUUUGAGUUAAUUUUUGUGAUGGGUAGAAGGUCUGUGUCUAGAUGGAUUUGUGUUGUGUGUGUGUGUGUGUGUGUGUGUGUGUUCAGUUGUUGCAAAAAAAUUGUUGAAAGGCUAUCAGUAGAAGGUCUGUGUCUAGAUGGAUUUGUGUUUGUGUGUGUGUGUGUUGUGUGUGUGUGUGUGUGUGUUCAGUUGUUGCAACAAAAUUUGUUGAAAGGCUAUCAGUUCUCUAUUAUAUUACUUUUGUUCCUUUGUCACAGAUCAGUUGACCAUACUUCUGUUGGUCUAUUUCUAGGCUCUCUAUGCUGUUCCAUGGAUCCAUUUUUCUAUUCUUUUACCAAUAUCAUACUGUAUUGAUUACUUUAGCUUUAUAGUAAGUCUUGAAGUUGGGUAGUAUCAGCACUCCAACUUUGUUCUUCUGCUUCAAUAUUGUGUUGGCUAUUCUGGGUCUUUUGCCUCUCCAUCUAAACUUUAGAAUCUGUGUGUUGUCUUGUUAUAUUUUGUUUAAUACCAGAAAUUUUGAACACUAUAAUGUGGCAACUCUCAAAAUCAGAUAUCCUCUCCCCAAGGUUUGUUGCUGUGGCUAUAGUUUAGUGACUUCCCUUGUUGUGGCUAUAGUUCAGUGACUUUCCUCAGCUAAUUCUCUGAAGUCUGAAUACUUUGCUAUAUAUUACCACUGAAGUCUCCACUUGGUUAGCUUAGCGGUCAGCAAAUGAUUGAACAGGACUGUCCUUAAAUGCCUUGAACCAGUAUGUCUCCCAGCCUUUAUCAAGGGCUCUUUGUGCAUAUUGGGCUAUGGUUUCAAUGUUCCAGGAGGAAGUUGAUAAUUCUGCCUUAGCCUUUAUUUCCUGCUUGUGCAGAUCAACAAUGCCGAUUGGAGGUGAGAAAUUAGGACUUUGUUAUGCCUUUUCUGGGUAUGCAACAGUUCUUCAUAUGUGCUUGGCCUUCUAGAUUCCUAAAAAUAUGUUAGAACUUUUCUAAGUCCCCUAUGGACAUCUCAUUCUUGCAGCUAUCCUUUUCAUUCAUUUUGGUUCACAUCUUGUUUAGCCCAAAUGUUAUCAGCGGUUCAGGCAGCUAUGAUGUUAAAUAAUUGCUGCUGAUUGUUUUUGACAAACACCCUGGGGGGGAAACUGUUCUCAGUGAUGAGCUCAGAGUCAGGUUAAAUGAAGAUAAGCCCUGUGAAUGGGGGCCAUUCAGGCAGUUUCCAGGCAGCUCAGAUAAUGACAGUUCUUUAAUAAUGAAGCUUUUGGGGAGCCAAGCCCAUUCUGCCCUCUCCAGUGGCUGCUAGACUGCCAGUUUUCAUAGGUACCCUGAUUGUGAUGCUGUUGUUUUUCAAAGCUUUUGCAGAGCUGAGGAAAGAAACAUGAGAAUAGGGCAAGGAAGGUCAGAUGCCUCAAAUCUCCCUGUUCCCACGUAGAUUCAACCACUUUUCUUAAAUAGACAGUACUUGGAUGGUUGCAAGCCUUUAUUGCUUUCCAGAGUUCUUAAAAAGUUGAUUUUGACAGUUAUUGCCAAUAUUCUUCUUACUUUUAUAAAGGAACAGAGCAUUGAAGACUUUUAUUCCACCAUCCCCACCGAUGUCACUCACUUGCAGUGUUUUUUAUUCAGCUUUAUUAAAAGUGUAAUUUACAUUCAAGAAAAUUCACCAACUUAAAACCUACGAUUUGUUGAAUUUUGUCAAAUGUAUACAGUUAUGUGACAUUCACCACAAUCAUGAUGUAGGACAUUUCCAUUAUCUCAAAAAGUUCUCUGUUGCUGACAUUUGGCAACCACUGAACUGUUUUCUGUCACUGCAGUUCUACCUUCUCUAAAAUUUUGUAUAAAUGCAAUUAUAUAGCGUGUGCUCUUUGUGUCUGGCUUCUUUUACUUAACAUAAUCCCUCUGAGACUCAUCCAUUUUGUUGCAUGUAUCAGUUGUUAGUGCCUUUGUAUUUCUGAAUAUUUCUUUAUAUGUGUAUACCACAGUUUUUAUUUCCAUUUGUCAGUUAAGGGACCUUUGUGUUAUUUCCACUUUGGGGCUAUUUUCUGAAUAAAUUUGCUGUGAACAUUCAAGUGCAGGUCUUUGUAUGGGUGUACGAUUUAUUUUAUCUUGGAUAUAACUAAGAGUAGAAUUGCUGGGUCAUAUUCUAAGAAUAUGUUUAAUUUAGUAAGAUAUUACCAAAUUGUUUUCCAAGGAGGCUGUAUCCUUUUGGAAGUUCCAGUGGUUCUAUGUCUUUGCUAAAACUUAGUGUUGACAGUGUUUUUAAUUUAGGCAUUCCAGUGUGUCUUAUUAUUUUAAUUUGCAUUUCUCCCAUGACCACUAAGCAUCUUUUCAUGUGCUUAUUUGCCAUUUGAAUAUCUUCUUUUAGAACUGUAUGUUCAGGGGCAUCUGGGUAGCUCAGUUGGUUAAGCAUCUGACUUCGGCUCAGGUCAUGAUCUCACAGUUUGUGAGUUUGCGCCCCUCAUCGGGCUUCACAUCAGGCUCUGUGCUGACAGCUUGGAACCAGGAGCCUGCUUCAGAUUCUGUGUCUCCCUCUCUCUGUCCCUCCCUGCUUGUGCACUCUCUCUCUCUCUC